Molecule: long non-coding RNA, 417 nt
Filed under: Triticum aestivum (bread wheat)
Lineage: Eukaryota; Viridiplantae; Streptophyta; Magnoliopsida; Poales; Poaceae
Description: long non-coding RNA (TAES_LNC021711)
Source: RNAcentral
UUCAUCCAUUUGAUUCUAAUGAAUUGACCAUAGGUAAGAUGGCGGAUCUUUUCUUUGGAUUGAGUUUCAUCCGAAAAACAAAAUAAGUCUACAAUGCACUCAAUAUAUUUUGCAUUGCUAUGCGCACACAAUGAACAAAGCAAAGGCCAUAAGUAGUACUCCCUCCGUCCCAAAAUAACUGUCUCAAGCUUAGUACAAUUUUGUACUAAACCUAGCACAAAGUUGAGACACUUAUUUUGAGACGGAGGGAGUAUAACAUAAACUUCAUAUUACUUUUAGAUAUGCUUUAUCUUAGUUUGACCGUGGUUUUCAGGAUUCCUGCUUUUUUUUAUUAUUCCAGUAAAUCAAACAGAUAAUUCUGCGGAUUACUGUGUUUUCACAACAAUCUGUUUUGCACAUGCAAUCCGAUUUUAUUCC